This 1047-nucleotide ribosomal RNA is filed under the name Triticum aestivum (bread wheat). RNAcentral's name for it is "partial small subunit ribosomal RNA". Lineage: Eukaryota; Viridiplantae; Streptophyta; Magnoliopsida; Poales; Poaceae. The record is from RNAcentral.
AUGUGGCAGUCCAAGCCAGCCCUGGUCUUCCUCCUGCUCGCCGUCUCCACGGCGGCGACCGUCGGCAAGCCGCUGCUCACGAAGGUCACCAAGGGCAGCGCGUCCACGGCCCUCUACACGGCGCCCCUCAGCGCCGGCCGGCCGCUCGUCCUCGACCUCUCCGCCCCGGCCAUCACGACGCCGUGCAGCGGGCAGACGACGACUGUGACGCUCUCCGCCAACUCCACCGAUGGCAGCAACCCGCUGUCCCCGGUCUCCUUCGCUGCCACCGCCACCUGCGCGGCGGCCCCCUCAGGCGCCGUCGGCGUCGCGGGGCUCGCGCGCUCCAGCGCCUCGCCGGCCCAGGUGGCCAGCACGCAGAAGGUGGCCAACUCGUUCGCGCUCUGCCUCCCGAGCGCCGGCGUAGGCGCGGCCAUCUUCGGCGGCGGCCCGUUCUUCCUCGCGCCCCCGGCGGACCGGCCGGCCAUCACCACGCUCCUCUCCGACGGCGUCCCGCUCCGCCAGCCCUUCUCCGGGAACCCCGGCUACUUCGUCUCAGCCACCAACGGCAUCGCCAUCGACGGGACGCGCGUGGCCGUCUCCGGCUCCGGCGCGCUCGUGGUCGGCCUCUCCACCACGAUCCCCUACGCGCAGCUCCGCAGCGACGUGUACCGUCCCUUCAUCACGGCCUUCGACCGCGCCAUGGGCUCGAGCGCGAAGGUCGCGGCCGUGACGCCGUUCGAGCUGUGCUACGACUCGUCCAAGCUGUCGCCGACGUUGUCGGGCUACUCCGUGCCCCAGGUGGACGUGAUGCUGGAGGGCGGGACGAACUGGACGGUGGUGGGCGGCAACUCCAUGGCGCAGGUGAACAGCGGCACGGCGUGCUUCGCGUUCAUCCAGGCGGGAGGCGGCACGGGGGGCGCGGCGCCGGCGGUGGUGAUCGGGGGAUUCCAGAUGGAGAACAAGCUGGUGGUGCUCGACAAUGACAAGAAGACGCUCAGCUUCACCCCGUACCUCCCGGCCAGGGGCUUCUCCUGCAGCAACUUCAACUUCACCAGGGCGGGGUAG